CUUAAAUUUAAAAAAAUAUAAAUAAAUAAAUUAAUUAAAAAAGAAUGUUUAAAAAAAAACACCUCCAAAAAAUACAUGUACAUAAAAUAUAUCUUACAAAUGCCAUGGAAAUAACAGUGAUUCUUGAAAGAAGGCUAGUCACUCUAUGAAUGAGACAAUGUCUGGACUUCUGAUAAAGAAACGAGAUAACGGAACCAAUUUUGUUACUUACAAGAGAAUGUUGAAAAUUUCAAUUUGAAGGAGUUGGAAAUACAAAGAGCAAAUUCAGCACAGUCCCUGCUUGAAGUGAGCUUAUAUGCACUAACUGUCUCAUGGCAGAACCAUGUUAAUUAGCAGUUUGGAAUGUUACUGAAAUGUUCCCAUCCCUGUUAGCAACCAGCCCUGACCUGUGCAUGGAUGAGCUGAAGUCCUCGCAGGUGCGGGGGUUGGGGGGGAACCGCCUCGGAGAAGGGCCGUCUGUGUGCCCACACAGCCCCAGUCAUCACAGGUUUCUGUCAGAAGCUUAUUAAAAGAAACUUGUUACAAAACAGGUUAGUUCAGUUCAAUUCCAAAUACACACUCGCAAGGUGCUCACCUGUAUCUGCUGAGUAUCAACACGGUAAAGGUAAACUUUGUUUCAUCUUUUCUUGAUAAAGCUGUUUUACCCUUUUCAAGUGAGAAAAUCUCCAGGAUCAUGAGAUGGCUGGAGACCCAGAAGCUUUCUUUCUCCCCAGCAAGUACUUCUUCCUAGAAUACAUGCAGUACAGAGAUCAGCUGAGGUACAAAAAUCCCACUCCCCCGUCCCUUGAAUUUUAUUUAUUUGCUUAUUUUAUUUAUCCCUUGGAUUUCAAAGUGCAAUUCGUUUAAACUGCCUUCCACCUUCAGUUUCCAACACCUGGGAAAAUUCUCAGGGGUUCCUCAAGACUUCUGAAAACUUCCCUGGAUUUAGCUUGAAGUCCCCUUG
RNAcentral lists this long non-coding RNA (943 nucleotides) under Canis lupus familiaris (dog). RNAcentral describes it as "lncRNA (ENSCAFG00845027761.1)". The record is from RNAcentral. Lineage: Eukaryota; Metazoa; Chordata; Mammalia; Carnivora; Canidae.